This 482-nucleotide ribosomal RNA is filed under the name uncultured bacterium. RNAcentral describes it as "bacterial SSU rRNA". It matches the Rfam family "Bacterial small subunit ribosomal RNA", at positions 29 to 506 of the family's 1533-position model. The record is from RNAcentral.
UUGAACGCUGGCGGAAUGCUUUACACAUGCAAGUCGAGCGGCAGCGCGGGGGCAACCCUGGCGGCGAGCGGCGAACGGGUGAGUAACAUAUCGGAACGUACCCUAUCGUGGGGGAUAACACAUCGAAAGAUGUGCUAAUACCGCAUACGACCUGAGGGUGAAAGCAGGGGAUCGCAAGACCUUGUGCGACAGGAGCGGCCGAUAUCGGAUUAGCUAGUUGGUGAGGUAAAGGCUCACCAAGGCGACGAUCCGUAGCUGGUCUGAGAGGACGACCAGCCACACUGGAACUGAGACACGGUCCAGACUCCUACGGGAGGCAGCAGUGGGGAAUUUUGGACAAUGGGGGCAACCCUGAUCCAGCCAUUCCGCGUGAGUGAAGAAGGCCUUCGGGUUGUAAAACUCUUUCGGCAGGAACGAAAUCGGGCGCGUGAAUAGCGUGCCUGGAUGACGGUACUGUCAGAAGAAGCACCGGCUAACUACGU